GCAUCCAUGGCUGAAUGGUUAAAGCGCCCAACUCAUAAUUGGCGAAUUCGCGGGUUCAAUUCCUGCUGGAUGCA
This 74-nucleotide transfer RNA is filed under the name Ginkgo biloba (maidenhair tree). RNAcentral's name for it is "tRNA-Ile". It matches the Rfam family "tRNA". From Rfam's summary of the family: Transfer RNA (tRNA) molecules are approximately 80 nucleotides in length. The record is from RNAcentral. Lineage: Eukaryota; Viridiplantae; Streptophyta; Ginkgoopsida; Ginkgoales; Ginkgoaceae.